UACGGGGGGGGCAAGCGUUGUUCGGAAUUACUGGGCGUAAAGGGUCUGUAGGUGGCCAACUAAGUCAGACGUGAAAUCCCUCAGCUUAACUGGGGAACUGCGUCUGAGACUGGAUGGCUCGAGUGCAGGAGAGGAACGCGGAAUUCCAGGUGUAGCGGUGAAAUGCGUAGAUAUCUGGAGGAACACCGGUGGCGAAGGCGGCGUUCUGGACUGCAACUGACACUGAGAGACGAAAGCCAGGGGAGCAAACGGG
This 253-nucleotide ribosomal RNA is filed under the name uncultured bacterium. RNAcentral's name for it is "partial 16S ribosomal RNA". It matches the Rfam family "Bacterial small subunit ribosomal RNA", at positions 524 to 776 of the family's 1533-position model. The record is from RNAcentral.